UCAUGGAGGGCUCAUGUAUACCACACCACCGUUCAUAGAUAAUGAAAAAAUAUUUCAUCUCAGCUGACAGUUUCACAAUUAGGGUCAUAAAAGGAAAAUAGAUACCAUUACCAUCCCUUAAAUCAUAUGAUUACAAUAUAGUAUGAAAAUUGCAUCGAAGGCCAUCAUCCAACUUUUGCAUUAUGAAUAGAGUUCAAUAUGCAUUUUCCUCGAAGGUCAUU
This 221-nucleotide long non-coding RNA is filed under the name Trifolium pratense (red clover). RNAcentral's name for it is "long non-coding RNA (TPRA_LNC012839)". Lineage: Eukaryota; Viridiplantae; Streptophyta; Magnoliopsida; Fabales; Fabaceae. The record is from RNAcentral.